This 384-nucleotide ribosomal RNA is filed under the name Maoricicada hamiltoni. RNAcentral describes it as "partial 12S ribosomal RNA". Lineage: Eukaryota; Metazoa; Arthropoda; Insecta; Hemiptera; Cicadidae. The record is from RNAcentral.
UAAACUAGGAUUAGAUACCCUAUUAUUAAAAAUGUAAUAAAAUUAACUUGAUUAUUAUUAGAAAUGAUCUUUAAAUUCAAAGAAUUUGGCGGUAAUUUAUCUUAUCAGAGGAACCUGUUUUAUGAUUGAUAAUCCACGAUAGAAAAAACUUCAAUUUAAUUUGUAUAUCUCUGUCAAGAAUGUUUUAUAAGAAAAAUUUUCAUUUUAUAUAAUUGUGUAUUAAAUGUCAGGUCAAGGUGCAGUUUAUAUUGAAGAAAAAAUGGGUUACAAUUAAUUAUUUAUUGGAUUAUUUUUUUUUAUUUAAAAAUAUGAAAUUGGAUUUGAUAAUAAAUUAAUUAAAUUUAAUUAAUUGAAGUUAGCUCUAAGUUAUGUACAUAUCGCCCG